RNAcentral lists this ribosomal RNA (484 nucleotides) under uncultured bacterium. Its description in RNAcentral is "partial 16S ribosomal RNA". It matches the Rfam family "Bacterial small subunit ribosomal RNA", at positions 30 to 507 of the family's 1533-position model. The record is from RNAcentral.
AUUGAACGCUGGCGGCAGGCCUAACACAUGCAAGUCGAGCGGAUGAAGGGAGCUUGCUCCUGGAUUCAGCGGCGGACGGGUGAGUAAUGCCUAGGAAUCUGCCUGGUAGUGGGGGAUAACGUCCGGAAACGGGCGCUAAUACCGCAUACGUCGUGAGGGAGAAAGUGGGGGAUCUUCGGACCUCACGCUCUCAGAUGAGCCUAGGUCGGAUUAGCUAGUUGGUGGGGUAAAGGCCUACCAAGGCGACGAUCCGUAACUGGUCUGAGAGGAUGAUCAGUCACACUGGAACUGAGACACGGUCCAGACUCCUACGGGAGGCAGCAGUGGGGAAUAUUGGACAAUGGGCGAAAGCCUGAUCCAGCCAUGCCGCGUGUAUGAAGAAGGUCUUCGGAUUGUAAAGCACUUUAAGUUGGGAGGAAGGGCAGUAAGUUAAUACCUUGCUGUUUUGACGUUACCAACAGAAUAAGCACCGGCUAACUUCGUG